RNAcentral lists this long non-coding RNA (214 nucleotides) under Lathyrus oleraceus (garden pea). RNAcentral's name for it is "Pisum sativum (pea) long non-coding RNA (PSAT_LNC028658)". Lineage: Eukaryota; Viridiplantae; Streptophyta; Magnoliopsida; Fabales; Fabaceae. The record is from RNAcentral.
UAACACACAAUUAAAUCUCACAAAAGAUCCAUGCAAUUAACGAACCAAAGUUUAUGGUGAAACUAGAGCCACCAAAAGUACAAUCAUAAUUAAACAAAAACAAUAAUAAUAAAAAGCUCAAAAUAAAAAUCUACUACUACUCAAAAAAAUCCUCAAUCUUCCUCAUCAUGUCUACCACCUACGGAUCCAAGGACAUCUUCCAUCUCAUCAUCAU